Rosa chinensis is the source of this 236-nucleotide long non-coding RNA. RefSeq lists it as uncharacterized. The transcript has 3 exons. The record is from RefSeq and is a predicted model, not a curated record. NCBI's taxonomy places the organism in Eukaryota, Viridiplantae, Streptophyta, Magnoliopsida, Rosales, Rosaceae.
UUUAUGGUAUUUUGGAUCUAAAGGCAAGUAUUACCUCUAGAACUGUGUUGAUCAUUCUGGCUGGAAGGUUCAAGGGCAAGAGGAUUGUCUUUUUGAAACAUCUUUCUAUUGCCUUGCUUCUGGUCACUGGCAGCUGAAGAAGAAAGGCUACAUGAGGCGUUUGAAAUGCAAAGGAGAAAGCUUCCAGCCAAAUUGCACUCAAAAUCUUUUUAUUUCAAUGUCAUUACUCUUGGAAC